Molecule: ribosomal RNA, 112 nt
Filed under: Acanthosepion pharaonis
Lineage: Eukaryota; Metazoa; Mollusca; Cephalopoda; Sepiida; Sepiidae
Source: RNAcentral
ACGGCCAUAUCACGUGGAAACACCGGUUCCUGUACGAUUACCGAAGUUAAGCAACGGCAAACCUGGUUAGUACCUAGAUGGGUGACCGCUUGGAAAUACCAGGUGCUGUAAG